CUUCACUGCCGUAUAGGCAGGCUUAGAAA
Molecule: non-coding RNA, 29 nt
Filed under: Actinobacillus pleuropneumoniae serovar 5b str. L20
Lineage: Bacteria; Pseudomonadati; Pseudomonadota; Gammaproteobacteria; Pasteurellales; Pasteurellaceae
Source: RNAcentral